This 253-nucleotide ribosomal RNA is filed under the name uncultured bacterium. RNAcentral's name for it is "partial 16S ribosomal RNA". It matches the Rfam family "Bacterial small subunit ribosomal RNA", at positions 524 to 776 of the family's 1533-position model. The record is from RNAcentral.
UACGUAGGCAGCGAGCGUUGUUCGGAGUUACUGGGCGUAAAGAGUGCGUAGGCGGUUCUCUAAGUUUGGGGUGAAAUCUCCUGGCUUAACUGGGAGGGUGCGCCGAAGACUGGAAGGCUUGAGUAUGGGAGAGGUAAGCGGAAUUCCUGGUGUAGCGGUGAAAUGCGUAGAUAUCAGGAGGAACACCUGCGGUGUAGACGGCUUACUGGACCAUAACUGACGCUGAGGCACGAAAGCGUGGGUAGCAAACAGG